This is a long non-coding RNA of Anas platyrhynchos (mallard), 2604 nucleotides long. RefSeq lists it as uncharacterized. The record is from RefSeq and is a predicted model, not a curated record. Lineage: Eukaryota; Metazoa; Chordata; Aves; Anseriformes; Anatidae.
UGCUUGCUGGUGCUGUAGGGACCGGCGGGUUGCUCUUUGGGGUGGUUCAUCAGUUGUUGGCAUGGUCCGAGUCCCCAUGAGUUGGGGGUGGCAAUGAGGAGGUGGUGGCAUCAGCAGCCACUUUGAUGUGGCCUUGUGACUCUUCGUCUCGCUACCAAGUAGUGGUGUAGCACAGGGGAUGGCACCCCCAGGCCCAGUACGGGUUUCCAGGGAUGGAUGUCUGUUCCUGUGCUUUCGCAAACUUAAUGUGCGUCCUCUGGCAACUAAGCGCUGAGUUUAGUAGGAGUUAAAAUGAUUAAUGCGCCUCUAACCAAAGAAUGUAUCUGGGGAGGGAAUAAAGAAAAUGUUAUUUGUAUUUGGGAUCAAAAUGCUCUGAAAAAAAAUAUAAAUCACAGUAAAUCUACUGUAGCAAUUGGAGUGCUGCCAUAAAGAGAGCUAGGUCUACACUAGCCGUGAUGAUGCAUGUGAGGCCAGAAAUCAGGUUCACCCCCAUGAGUUAGAUACUAGAGCAGCCUUGUGGCGGGGUAGGGGAAGGCGACUGGUUUUAAGAUGCAGUGUGCUCGCUUUAGGAAAUGCCAACCACUUCCCCAAGAAACUGGACUUUCUUGUUGAAACAGUCCUGUGGUAUCACUCCAGGAUGGCUGCGAUGGUCCCAGCAGUACCAGAGAGUAAAAAAAGGAAACAAGUCCUGAAACACGGAAAAAGACCAAAGGGAAACCCAUCCCAGCUGUCAGCAGUGCCCAGCAGUGUGUUCUCUGGGUACCCUGUGUGCACGUUUCCAUCCCAGCCAAAUGCCGAGCAUGAGAGCAAUGAAAGGGAGGGAGGCUGGAAGGACUUGGAAUGAAAAGGACUGAGCGUGUACAGCUCCGCAGAGGAAGGGCGAUAUUGCCAUCUGCAGGGAGCAGUCCCCGGGGAGAAGGCAGCGCUCAGCCUGGUUCAGCGUCUUGCAGCUGGGAGUAACAACAGGAAUUUCGGAAGGCAAACGUAGGUGAGGCAGACAAACCCUCCCUCCUGAUGUCAUUUGUUAAACCAGACUGAUUUCCCAGGGGGCAGAGGCAGCCCAGUCUCUCAAUUCCUCCUGCAGCAGGCAGGGAAGGGCUGUGCUCUGGGGAGGGCAGGAGGUGCUGGGGAGCGAUGGAGGGGCCUGGCCGGCCCCGUGGCCUCCUUCCUGCCUCUGCUGUUGCUGGCAGACACGGGGCCAGGACGCUGUCACAGCUGAAGGCUUCGAUCUAGAGCAGGAGCUGAGACUUGUGCCUGCAAGCAGCCUGGGGUGAAGAACAAGCAGGAAUUGUGUCUAUUCCCCAAACCAUUUCAUCAUCCUAAAGAAAAUGCAAUCUAAACAGAGGCUUUCUGGCCAUCACGUUUGUAAGCAAAGAUCAAAAUGUAUCUGCAGAAAGUUAAUUUUUACCAACGAGAGCAUCCUCAGCUCUGUGCUGGAGAUCAGCAUCGCUGAUCUGAAUGCUGAGCUUGAGAGGGGAGCUGGUUCCCGGACAUUUCUUUAUGGGAGGUGACACCAACGCCUGCAGCAAGCAAGUCAGUGUUUUGGAGGAAGAACUGCGGAAAGAGACCAGAUAAUGCAUACAGGUAAUAAUUUACUGUCAGGAACAGGACACCAGCACUCCUGCCUUGUCCCCUGCAGCUUCCCCCAGGCCAUGCCGCCUGGCUGUACAUGGUUUUUCCAAGCCCUGCUGCUCUCAGCCCUGCAAGGAGAAGCUGCCCCCAGACAGCCACAGUGCUGGUGGGGCGCUUCUGGCAGGACUUGCCCAUGCCUGAGGGUGAUAGGAGCCAAGCCUGCUGAACGUCAGCUUCCAUUUCAACAACCCUUGUUUGUCUAAACAAGUGUUUGUGGCUGCAAGGGAGAUGUUCAACAUACGAGUUAUUGGUUUCUUCAGGGCUUUGGAGGCUACUUCCAUGGGCUAGGGGGGUGAAUCCCAGUGUCCCCCCCAGUUAGACCGGCUCUGUGCUUUUAUACCAGUCACACGGAUCGUGGGGAGUUUAAAGCUCAAUUGCACGGUGCCUGGCAAGAAGAGCUUUGUCCCCCCGCGGCAUUUCAGAGGUGAAUUUUCCAGUCUGGAUGCAGUAAGAUAUGGAUCUAGCCACUGCUCCUCUGCCAGCAGAGCUGUGUCAAGGGGAGGAGUGAUACUUUGGGUGCAAAAUCCAAAAUAAUUAGUAUUACUGUCACCCUGAAGUUGAAUCAGUAAAAGAGGAGGGCAAACAGCAAGUAGAAGCUGGGAGUAAAACCCUCCUGAACCAAGUCUGCCACUGAACAGACUGUAGCAUCAAAACAUAUCAGAGACAGACCGUAUUUUUCUGUAUCUUGAGGGAACAUGAAGAAAAAGACUUCUAUACUGGCGUGAAGACUUUCAAAGACUUAUAAUACUUAAACGGACCUUUUCAAAAUAACUAUAGUGUCACAAGAAAUCUGUGUAUGCUUGGCCUAACUCUUGAAUGAUUGAACAGUAGAUGAAAUUGCAGCUUGUUCUCCAGCAUGGUUUAUCAGAAGACUAGAGGAGCCAGGAUGCUACGUGUGUGUAUAUACAUAUAUAUAUAAAGUUUGUCCUUUCUACUCUGUUUUACCUGUGCAAGAUGACAGCUAGGUUAAAA